This is a non-coding RNA of Equus caballus (horse), 10532 nucleotides long. NCBI's taxonomy places the organism in Eukaryota, Metazoa, Chordata, Mammalia, Perissodactyla, Equidae. The record is from RefSeq and is a predicted model, not a curated record.
CCUUAUAAGAAGGAAACCUAUGGAAGUCAUUCCAAAAAGUGCCAUUGUGGUUCAAGGAUGAGAUCAUAGUGGAGAAUCAAGUGCUCAUUUUCAUCAAAUUAAAGUCUGAGUGUCCAGAGAGCAAGCAUCUAAACUGGACACACGUGAUGUCAUUUCCAGGUCCCACAAUAUCUCACCUAUGUGCUCGUUUAGUGUUAAAAUCGACUUCUAAGUAUCAAACACUUGAGACAAGAUGCUCUUUGUGCUUUACAGUUGGUUGAAGUUGCUUAAUCUAAGAGACCUGAGCAAGUUUUUUUCCUUCAGUCUUGUUUUCACCUUUCUUCAUUAUCUUAAAUAGCUACCUUCACCUGUUACUUUUCUUUCCUCCUCUCCUCUGUCCUCUUACUCCUCUGCCUUGCAUUUCAUCUUCUUCACUUUUGUUCUCUUUGUUUGUCCAAGGCACUGUUUGCCCUCUCUCUGAUUGACCUUUCUAGCUCCCCAUGGAAUUACCAAACUCUUGCUACCCCCGCCCCUGUUCUUCCCCAUCUGGGGUUCAGUGCAAAAAGCUGACCUGCAGCCUAUAUUUGAAGAUUUCUCUAGUCAAGAUUACCUUUCCCUGGUACCUCCAUUUUAUAAUUGGAAAAUUCCAACCCAGAGUGACUUCUUUAAGGCCAUGGCUGACAAAACUCAAGCCCUAGAAUGUUAUACUGGUGACCACCUUACAUGAGUCGAAAGCUCUUUCUAUGAACUCCAAGAGCAUUUAUCAUUUUCAUCAGUCUUGCGACAAAAUGGCUCCCAUAGUUGGUUUUAAUAAGGAUCUCAAGGGUGCCUGGUCUUUGUAUCCAUUCUUGGAAUUCAGAGGUGCCCAGCAGGUUUUACUGGCUCCUUGACUGUGUGAAAGACCCCAAGCUGUUAGGAAGAAAUGAUGCUGAGUACUUCGAGUACUUUCCUAGAUGCUAAGAUUAAGAGUCUCAAACUAGCACAGGGAUUUUAAAACUAUGGCAAAGUCUUGGUAAAAAAAGAAAUGAUCGUUGGAGAAAAGCAGUUUUCCCAAAUGCAUGGCCAAGUUGAAGAUUGUAUGUCCCAUCCUGUGACACAAACAGAGAGUUGGGGAGGAAUACCAGGUGACAGAGGACCAGUGGCCCAGACUCAGGGGGAAAUAUGACAAAGAAAAGGUAAAUUAGGCACACAUCGAACACCCCAAAACUGCUAUAUUAGAUAAUAGUAGCAAACACUUCCUAGUAGCCUACUAUGUGCCACCCUAAAUGCAUGUCAUCUCAUUUGGUCUUCAAAAUGAGGUGGGUACUCAUUUAUUAGCCCCAAUUUUCCCAGCAUGGAAAUUGAGUCUUAAUUAUUAAUUUGCACAAAGUCAUAGUUAGGAGGUUGUGGAAGUUGAAUUUGAACCCAUGCAUUCUGACUCCAAAGUCUAAGCUGGAAAUCACUAACAUUACUGUCUAAGGAUGGUUGAAACAGGUGUCACAUGUAGAACCUUCUCCUUGGUGCAGGGGCGAACUAACAGCUCUCAGUGGAGCAGCUGGAGCCCAGGCAGGCUGGAAUCCUCAGCCUCCACAGGGAUUGGCUGUAGCAAAACUGAGAGUGGAUGGAGAGCCAGAGCAGAGCCCGCAGCAGCGGUGGUGUGGGGUGUCUGGGGGAGCUAUAAUGGUGGUGUUCCCAGCAGCAGCUGAAUUACCUGGGGUAAGAGAGGCUACACAUGGCCCUACACAAGAGGACUGCAGGGACCAGCUGCCUUAGGGUGGCCGACGGCUUGUUUGGGAGCCUUAAUAACCAAAUAGAUGGGGACAGGACUCAAAUGUUUUUAUUCCUCAUCUCUGAAUGUUCAGUUUAUGUAUGUUGUCUUCCCAGCAUCACUGUAAUCUCAGGGAGGGCAGGAGUGAGCUUUCCAUUUCUUUAGCCCCACAUAACGAAGACACCCAACACCAAUUUAUUUACUUAGAGACUAUGCAUUCACCCACGUUUUGGGAAGAACUCAAUCCCAUACACUGAUUAUUUCAGCCUGCUAGGAACUAGUGCUUCAGAACAAAAGUAGUCAAUUCUUUGAAAAAACUCCUUCAAAGUGUUACUCCAGGAGUGUGCACACAUGUAUCUGAGGAAGGAGAGAAAUGUGGCAUUUAUUGUGCAUCUUCUAUGAGCCAGGUACCAUGCCAGACACACUACAAAUGUUAGCUCAUUGAAUCCUUCACUGGGUGGAUAACGUAGGGAAAAUUAAUAUGCAUUUUGUACAGAUGCAAAAACUUAGCAGCUUGAACUCACACAGUUAAUGAAUCAUGAAAGCCCAGGUCACUCUGGCUCCAAAACCCAUCCUUUCCACCUUUUCACUGAAAGACUUGUCAAGUAGAGAAUUGGGUUUUUGUAAGAUAAGAUUUUCCUGCUCCCCUAAGUCCCUGGGGCCACUGGCUUUGGGCCUCCACGAGUGUCUUUCUAAGCUCUAGGUUUCCUACGCUGCUCCUGAGGCUGCUGUCAAUGGGACGGACAAACAAAUCCUAGGCAACACGACACUGAUACAAACACGCACAUGGUGGAUGAACUGAGCACCCAUGGCUCUGGCCCCUCCUUCCAUAUCAGAACAAUGAGCACUCUCAGAGUAUGUUUGAACAAGUACUGUCCUACCCAGCAACUGGGUUUUCAAGACAGCUUCAACAGCUCCUUCCCCUUUACAUACAGUGUGUCUGAUGACUCUCCACACAGCUCCUUCCCUCCUGUGUUCCUCCAAAAGUGCUCAGAGACCUCUUCUGAGCAUGGCCCCGUGUCAUGCUCCAGGAUAUCCUCACCAUUCACAGAGGAGGAGAAUGGAGCUUUCUGUCCAUAAAAUUACCUCACAGCAAUAGAGCUUUCUCUGGAGCCUCUCAGCCUUGACCCCAAGUGCUACAGUAAAAGAAAAAGAAAGCUGGGGCAAUAAAUAAACCAAGAAGAAAAGAGAGCUCUCUUCCCCAAGUUCAGGAAAACUCUGAGGAAACAUUAAACCAAGCUCACUCGGUCUGUUUCUAACAUCUUCACCAAAAAACUGCAGUCAGUGAGCCUAACGGAGCUGGCGUUCUACAGCCAGUUGUGUGUGAAGACAGUGACACUCCACUCACAGAGCCCAAGGUGAGAUGCUGCCAAAUACGCUCUCUUGUGUGCGAAAAGUGAGAGGAGGAAAGGCUGCAGUGGGAAAGAGCCGCAGGAGGUCACCCAAGUCAGCGCUCUGCUUCCAAGAAGCAAGGCCACACUCCCUCUUUCCCUCCUCGUCCCCUUCAGCAGCAGGAACCCCAUGACUCUCAGCAAUGACCUGUUUGGAGACCCAACAGCCUCACCAGCCACUUGAGUGUAAAGGGACAACAAUCGUUAGCACGUCUCCCAGGCAGCGCUCCUUGUGCCCACAGGAUCACUAAGUCUGCCCGAAAGGAACUCCUCCAUCUUCCAGCCUCGCUCCCUCCUCGCUGGAGACCAAAACCAAUCCAGGUUUGGAUGAAGGAAGAGAAAAAGGGGAAUAUUUGUUCGAAUCUUUUUGGACUUCACAACACCCGAGGUCUUAUUUAUGCGUGGGUUUCCAGCUGUGCAUGACAUAAGUUGUUGAAAACUGGCACAUCUUUCCAUCAGCAAGCACAGCACAACCACAAGUUUGGCAAGCAGUUCAUGCUGCCAGAUGCCUUCUCUGUUUCUUAAACUAUGUAUUCAAGUCACUCCACUUUUUCCUUGCUGGAAAUACUUUCAAAGAAGAACACAAUGUUUUGGGUUGCCUGGCCAACAUUUAGCUGUACUUUUGCAUCUUUGCCAAACUUCCUGUUUUUAGCAAAACAAUUUAUUAUCUUGCUGGUUCUUUAGACUCAAAAGGAUUUCAGGCACAAAUAACUACUUGGUUUCCAUGUCUUUUCAGAGAAGAAACUCAUUUGCUUUCCCAUAAUUAUCCCGUAGAUGCAAGAACAGAAACAUAUUUAACCUUUGGGAGUGCUACUGAGGUGUAGAAAAGGUUUUAAUUAUUCAAAACCUCUACAGUCUGAACUUUAAAGAACUGACAAUUAUUUUUUGUGCGCAAGGAAAAUAAUUAUUUUCAGGUGGUUUGGCAAGAUCACAGAUUUGCCGCACGUGGUAUUGUAGAAGCAAGUUUGGAGUGAGUUUGAUUUGGAGGCCAAGGUUAGACUAAAGAGAUUUAAUUAAUCAGCAGCAAUCAAAGAAAGCAUUCGCCCAGACACUUUUAUGAAUAGUUCAUCUCUGAUUACUAAGCCACACAGCCACUCUUUGACUUCAUCAGAAAACAAAACAAAACCAAACGAAAACUAAACAGUGAGAGCCUUUCCCAUCUCCACCUAGCAGCCACCCGGCCUGACUAUCAACCAAUAAAUAGACUGAGAAGAAACAAUCUCCCAACUUGAUUAGACUGAGGUGGCCACGUAUAUGCAGUGCCAAUUUUCUUCUACAAAAUUAUACUACCUACAAAUAGAACGUAUUUUGAGUAACACCAUGCACAGACACACAUAGCCAUUUAGAUAGUCUUCUAUAGUACAGAUGUGCUGUACUGUAGCACAGCAAUAUUGAUAACGGUGCGGUUAAUUCUUCAGAGAAAUGCAUUUCUAAGGUAGAAUGUAUUUCAACUUAAGCUUCAACCACAAUUUCUCCAGGACUUUCAAAAAUUACUUCAUACUACCUGCAAAGACCCAGGAACUGAUAAUGUUGAUUUCCUGUAUGUUCAUGCUUCAAAGACCUUAGAAUUCUUUGAUGGUGACUUAGCAACCACUAUAAAAAUAAUGUCUCCUUAAAACAGAGUCAAAGAGUAAGACACUUUAGAGGAAAUGGUUAAUAUUAAUGAGAGGGUACAGUGGAGUCUGACAAUAGCCCAGCAUCAGCACUUUGGGAGGAAUGCUUCUAACUUAGGCAAGAGAGGGCCAACUUCUGUCUUUCCAUUUGUGAACUCUUCCCUUGGAUUAAAGCAGAGAAAAAGACACUAGCUAUUAGAUAGAUGGAUGGAGAGAGAGGGUGUGUGUGUGUUGUCUGUUGUGUGUCUUUUUCUUUUCUUUUUUCCUUUUUUUAAGAUUGAUGCUUUGAUUCUCUUCAGCUAAGACUGGGCCAAGAAAAGAAAAAAGUCCAAGUAACAAUUCAGCUGGCUAGAGCACAUACAUUGAGGAGAGAGUUAAAAGGGGAGGUUUCCAUAAUGAAUUAUCACUCAAUUCAAGCCGUCUCAGAUGUUGUAGCAAAGUAUAUGGCUCCAGAAGGUGGCUCAAGAUUUCUUGCAAACUCUUCUAAAAGGUGAGAAAGUGCCUUUAUUAUUAACCUUAGGGCAUGUAGCUUUAAAGAGUUAUUUUUAACAUUUAAACAUAAACAAUAUCAGUGCUAAAUAUAGGAUCAAAGAAAUAUUUUUUCCAUGUGGAGUUGCCAAAGCACAGAAGCAUGGCUGCAAAGUACAAGUUUCCUUUGAAGGGGAUGUUGCUAUCGAUAUUGCUUACUCAGCAGUCUAGUAACGUCAAAAUAAAGCACACAUAUAGAUAUAUAUUCAUUAUAUCCUGCCUGGUAUGAAAAAGGUUUUACUCCUCUGGUCUUUAAAAAUAAAACCCAACAUCCCAAACCAAAGCCUUAAGGGCUCCUUCACUAGCCUUUUUCAAAAUGAACACAUUUAAUGUAAUGUUUGAAGCCUGUGGUAUCAGAAUUUAUUUCUACAAAGUUAACUCUAUUUAAUAUCCUUGGCUCUAAGCUUAAUUUGCUAAAUAGUGCUGUUUUUGAAAUUUAUUGCAAAAUUAUUGUUCUCCAGGGAAAUAAUUACCAUUCCUCUUACUUCUAUGGUAUUGCUUUCCUCUGCAUGUGAAUUUAAGUAAAAAGAUUUUAAAAGCAACUCUGUGUUUUGAGUAAGUAUCAAUCAAGACAGUGUGACUCUGAUAUUAUAUUUGAAUUUAAGAGAAUAUAUUCUGUUCACUUGAAUAUCCAGUCUUUUUGAAUGAGAACAAUAGGAUAUUAAGAAUUAGAAAAGAAGCCUAAGAAAUGAUUGCAUGUAUCUAUUUAUGCACGGCCGUGUUGCAAAAAGAAUUCUAGGCAAUCUAGGAGCAUAUAUAAAAUAUAGUUACAUAAUGUCAAUUAGAAGAAGGCAUAAAGCAAAAAAGAAAACACCAGGAUAAAGACAUAAAUGGAAGCAGGAAUGGAUCUAACAGAAGCUCACAGUUAUCUAUAAAUGAAGCACAAAUUUGAGUCUUGGGUUUAGUAGUUUUAAGGUGAAAGCGAAAACCUGCACAAGAUUAUAUGCUCAUGAAUGACAGAGGUUUUCAGAACUUCAUGCAAGUUGAAAACAUUUUAUAAAUUACUGAUUUGUGAGCCAGAUACUUUCUAGUCUCCUCCAUUGAAUGCUGUGGUGAUCAUUGGGGAGGCAAAGGUUGACCGCGCUGCAUCUACGUUUGAAUAUUUUGGGAAUGCAUCCUGAUUCCCUUUUGGGGAAUUGCCUUCUCCCUAUUUUGAAGGGUGCUCUGUCUCUACCCCUCCCAAGUUCGCAGCAAUACUAAACCUUAAGCAGACUGUGCCAUGGCAGGAGGGGGAAAUGGCUCUGACUGCUUCCCUCCCAGCGGUUGUGUGCUACCAACAAAGUGACUGGUUUGCACUAGUGCCCUGUUUCCAGUUCUUCUCAGAGCCUCGUUCUCCCGCUUUCUCAUCAGUUCUUUAAGCCAUCCAAGAAUCAUCCAGUAAAUUUCUUUUCUGCUCAAGUUAAGUUCAGUGGCCUGCAACUACAGAACACUAAAUGAAAUACAGAUAGGCCAGGCAACUCAAAUGCAGAUGGGUUAAAUGACACGGCUGGGCCCCAUUGGGAAUUUUUGGUAAAGUUAAGUGUGGAACCCUGAGAAUCUAAUGCCCAGUUUAUGGCCAUUGUCAUUCUACUCAGUGCAAACUAUCUAAAGUGGAAAUAGUCAUUGGUGAAGAACAUUUCUGUCUACAGCAAGAAUAUCUGCCAAAGAGUAUGUAUUUUCCCUCUUCAUCAAAGCUCUUAGUAGUUCUCUUUCCUCUGCAGGGCAUGGAUGUAUUUAAGAAAAGAUUUUGGAGCACUGUACCGCCAGACACCCACUUUCAGUAUCAGACCUAAACAUUGUUAUUAAUGUCAUGACACCUUCUGUUUGCCCUGAUAGGUAAUGCCUAACUUCAACAUUAUUAAAACCCAACACGUGAGUGAAUAAUGCUUUAUAUUUUAUAAAGAGUUUAGUGUUUCUGAUGAGAAUUAUUUCCCCCUUUAAGAGUUCUGGGCUGAAAAGCUAAUGGAAUAAGAACUAUUGAGUAUCCAGAGCAGUGGGGAGGGCCCAUGAAGCCACAGGGCAUGUGCCCAGUGGUGUCCUGGUAAAUGUUUCACAACAGACUCUCCAAAAGAGAAAGAAGAAAAACAAAGCCCUGAUUCGUAGUGCUUACACAUUUCGGUGGUAUGAAGACUCCUACCAUGGCCAAGGUCGAGCUACCAGCAUGAUGUCACUGCACGUGGAAUUGGGAAGAGAUAUGCACCAAGAGCUCUCAAAGCUGGUGCAAACAGGCUCCAGUGCACCACUGGAAGGUUUUUCUAGAUACUUCUCCUUCAGCUGAGCCCAAGGAAGGACCUUGAAGGACCCAACCAUCUGUUACUUUUAUGACAUAUGUUCUUCUGGAGGCUGCUGUCUGUAAAUCAGUCAACUAACCAAUGGGCAAUAGGAGUCUCUCUCUCUUCUCCUAUCUGAGAAUCUUCCUCUGGAACAUCAGAAGGAACAGAAGUGAUUCAUCAUGAAUGAAUGUCUUAUAGGAAGAACAUCUUUAGUUUCCUUUCAAGAGAAAGUUUGCAUUUAAAGGCAGUGAUCUGCUUUGUCUGUAAACAAAACAAACAAAAAUCCAAAUGAGUUGAAGAAACGCUAUGUUAUAUUGCAGGAAAAAAAUCCCAGCUCAAAGGCAAAGUGUCUGGAAGUGCACUAUGAGGCAGUCAAGUGAUGGUGAAGAGCAUGGGUCCUAACUCCAGCUCUCUGGAUAUGAACGCCAGCUCUGCUUUUUACCAGGAGCAUCUGCCCUUGGGCCAGUAACUUGGGUUUCAAAACCUCAGGUUGCUCCUCUGCAAGAUGGAAAUGAUAAUAGAGUCUCCAUGAAAACUUAGAUAGACAAUGCAAAUAAAGGACUUAGCACAGGGCCUGACUUGUGGUAACUUGUUCCUGUUACUACUCCGUGAUUGUCCAGUCUGCCCUUGUCACUGGCUUGGCGUGUUUGGGUUUCCUUUUCUAAGAUGUGGCAGCAGCCAUUAGAGUCCAUUCACCCCCGAAAAAGGAAUGGUAAAUGGGUGGUUAGGAGAAAGCCAGUCCUAGCAGAGUGCUUUCCAUGGGCAAAAGAACACGAUGACAGGCACCAACGAGGCAUUCCUCCCCACCUCGUGGGAAAGAGCACAUGCCUGGAACAGGUGCAGUCACAGGAGCCCCAGGAGGGGAUGGCCAAGAGGAUGAAACUUCCAUUAUCAGGGUUUGGCUGAAAACCAUCAGAGCCACAUCUCCAGUGGAACUUGUAACUGCUUACUCAUCUCAAAUAACUUAAAGCAUGUCAUCACCAUUCCCGGCCGCAGGAAUGAAGCCUGCCACAGAGUGGGGAUCUGUUUUCUUCCUUAAAGCUCUCGGAGUGUUCUGCUUCAAUUCCCUGCAUGGGAUGUAGAUAUAUUAAACACACACAGAAAAUGACCAUAAAGUGAACAUUAAGGCUGAGAAAUGGGGUCCAAGGAUGCCAAGAAAUUCAGAAGUAAGUGUUCCCCCGGCAGUUCUAACUCAGCCAUCUUUGCAGUAAUGCAUCCUUUCCGAUUUCUGAAUCCUCAGUGGAAUGCCCACUUCAUAUGGACUCUGGAUCCUUCCACUAAGCCAGGGGAGGAAUAUUUGGGGUCUCUCUCGCUCCUUCUCACUUCCCCAGGUCAUGGGAAAAUCUUGUCUAGGACCCUUCCACUGAGCCCUCGAAUGAAGCCAGGCAUAGCAAUGCACUCUCAAGAGCUGGGAGGGCGGGUGAUGGGGGAGUAGCUCAGCCCCAGGAAGCUGGACCAGUUCCCUUCCCUGGCCCCUCCCUGAGAGCCAGGAGGCUACUCCUGGCUCCACACAGCAAAUGUAUCCACCCAGAUAUCCAGGAUGCAUUAGUGGUUCGACACAACUGAUGUGCUCAGGCACCUCCGGGGUACAUUAGUUGAAGUGGCUACAGCAGCUGGUGGCUCCUCUUCAGGCAUAAUUUAUCUAUUGCACUUCACUUAAUGUGCAAAAUUAAAUUUAUGCUGAAUCCAUGUGUAUUACCUACUGUGCAUGAGCAGCAUGAAAUAUACCAUAAAGCAAAUCAGCACAGAGCCAUGCUCUUAAUUGCUAAUGGCUUUCAACACACUUCAUUGUGGUCUAACCAAACCUGGAGUCCAUUCUGCACUGAGAAUCCUGCUCAUGUCAAGAAGUGAAACUUUCUGGAGCAUGUGUUCUUUAGAUCACACAUUCUGUACUUUCCACUAAUAUUGCAAUCAACAUGGUUUCUACGAAGGGCAUGAUUUUACUGAAAAAUAAUCAGUGUGAAAUGCUUUCUUAAAAGUAGAAUAUAGGAAAUAACCCCAAGAUUCAGCCCAAGUUCUGUCACUGCCAGGCUAUGGGACGCACUCUGGGUUUCUGGUCCUACACAUUAAAACACAGGAAUCAGAAUGGUUGAUUUCCGCCCCUAACAAGGAAAAGAAUCUACGCAAUCAAGUAUAGUGAAUUUCACAAAAACAAAUCUCUCAAAAGAAGCUUUAAAAAAUAUGGUGCAAAAUAUGUUUGCACACACUCUCACACAUCUACAUUCUCACAGAGUAGAAAUUAAUUCAAGUUUGAAACUUGAUUCGAAAAAGAAAUUUGGUGGAGGAAUCAGAAACAGAAAGAAUAAAUACAUGGGUAAUGCAGAAACUUAAAACACAAUUACAUCUUCUCCAACAGCAAUUAUUCAGUGUUUUUCAUAUUUCUGUUCUUUUUAAAGUAUGCUUUGUACAACUAGAGAGACCAUUUUCCAUGGAAAAAAAAUGAUCUGCUCUGCAAUUUACAUUUGUAUUAGGAAGUAUCCAUCUGUGGAAAUGUCAUGUUCCUCCCUUAAAAAUAAUUUGUUACUUUCCCCACAUAAAGGACAAUAGAAAAAAUAAAACCAGUGACUGUAUUACUUUUUAGAUGGUGUCUUUACAUAUUUUUUCAGUAGGUGACUAUUAGUAUAAAAAUUUAGAAAAUAUAUCAGUCUUUCCAAGCACAGUAUUUUUAUAAAAAUAAGAAAAUUCUGUUAGGAAGAUAUGGUGAUAAUUUUACUUGUUGUUCUACUCUUCCUCAUUUUGUUUCCAUGUCAAAAUCAGCAUAUUAUUCACCAAGAAUUUUAAUCUGACGUUUUAAACGUUUUCUUCAAUUUUAGUGCUUCUUGAUUUUAUGUGGUUUGUGGCCGAAAAGCUAAAAUGUAGAUAUGAAUUGUUUGCAUUCAUACAUAAACAUAUGUAUAUGUAUAUGUGCAUGCAUGUAUGUGCAUUCUUUCAGUCACUGUCAUAUAGAAUUACAAUUAAUUGAAUAAAUAUGCAUGUAGAAAUGAGUUUUCCCAUCACUUCUAUUUUUGAAUGCAUAAGUUAU